RNAcentral lists this ribosomal RNA (445 nucleotides) under uncultured bacterium. RNAcentral's name for it is "bacterial SSU rRNA". It matches the Rfam family "Bacterial small subunit ribosomal RNA", at positions 330 to 792 of the family's 1533-position model. The record is from RNAcentral.
ACCAGACUCCUACGGGAGGCAGCAGUGGGGGAUAUUGCACAAUGGGGGGAACCCUGAUGCAGCGACGCCGCGUGGGUGAAGAAGCGCCUCGGCGCGUAAAGCCCUGUCAGCAGGGAAGAAAAUGACGGUACCUGAAGAAGAAGCCCCGGCUAACUACGUGCCAGCAGCCGCGGUAAUACGUAGGGGGCAAGCGUUAUCCGGAUUUACUGGGUGUAAAGGGGGCGCAGACGGCGAUGCAAGCCAGGAGUGAAAGCCCGGGGCCCAACCCCGGGACUGCUCUUGGAACUGCGUGGCUGGAGUGCAGGAGGGGCAGGCGGAAUUCCUGGUGUAGCGGUGAAAUGCGUAGAUAUCAGGAGGAACACCGGUGGCGAAGGCGGCCUGCUGGACCGUGACUGACGUUGAGGCUCGAGAGCGUGGGGAGCAAACAGGAUUAGAUACCCUAGUA